This 1054-nucleotide ribosomal RNA is filed under the name Candidatus Saccharimonadota bacterium. RNAcentral's name for it is "bacterial SSU rRNA". It matches the Rfam family "Bacterial small subunit ribosomal RNA", at positions 1 to 1083 of the family's 1533-position model. Lineage: Bacteria; Candidatus Saccharimonadota. The record is from RNAcentral.
CUUUCUUUUAACGAGAGUUUGAUCCUGGCUCAGGAUGAACGCUGGCGGCAUGCCUAACACAUGCAAGUCGAUCGGUAAGGCUCUUCGGAGUACACGAGAGGCGGACGGCUGAGUAACGCGUAGGAACACACCCUGCAGUGAGGGAUAAGACACCGAAAGGUGUUCUAAUACCGCAUACGGUCUUCGGAUUAAAGCAUUUAUGCGCUGAAGGAGUGGCCUGCGUCAUAUUAGAUAGUUGGUGAGGUAAUGGCUUACCAAGUCGAUGAUGUGUAGCUGGUCUGAGAGGAUGAUCAGCCAGACUGGAACUGAGACACGGUCCAGACUCCUACGGGAGGCAGCAGUGAGGAAUAUUUCACAAUGAGCGAAAGCUUGAUGGAGCAAUGCCGCGUGCAGGAUGAAGGCCCUCGGGUUGUAAACUGCUUUUAUAAGAGAAGAUUAUGACGGUAACUUAUGAAUAAGGGACGGCUAACUACGUGCCAGCAGCCGCGGUCAUACGUAGGUCCCGAGCGUUAUCCGGAGUGACUGGGCGUAAAGAGUUGCGUAGGCGGUCAAGUUAGCGAGCGAUGAAAACUAUCGGCUCAACCGAUAGCUUGUUGUUCGAACUGCUUGACUCGAGAGUAUCAGAGGUCGCUGGAAUUCCUAGUGUAGCAGUGAAAUGCGUAGAUAUUAGGAAGAACACCGAUGGCGUAGGCAGGCGACUGGGAUAUUUCUGACGCUAAGGCACGAAAGCGUGGGUAGCGAACCGGAUUAGAUACCCGGGUAGUCCACGCCGUAAACGAUGGAUGCUAAUUGUUUGAGGUAUCGACCCCUCGAGUAAUAAAGCUAACGCGUUAAGCAUCCCGCCUGUGGAGUACGGCCGCAAGGCUAAAACAUAAAGGAAUUGACGGGGACCCGCACAAGCGGUGGAGGAUGUUCUUUAAUUCGACGUUAAGCGAAGAACCUUACCAGGGCUUGACAUCCCUAGAACUUUUUCGAAAGAAAAAGGUGCCUUCGGGAGCUAGGUGACAGAUCCUGCAUGGCCGUCGUCAGCUCGUGUCGUGAGAUGUUUGGUUAA